This 297-nucleotide ribosomal RNA is filed under the name Trouessartia funiculata. RNAcentral's name for it is "partial 28S ribosomal RNA". It matches the Rfam family "Eukaryotic large subunit ribosomal RNA", at positions 656 to 952 of the family's 3401-position model. The record is from RNAcentral. Lineage: Eukaryota; Metazoa; Arthropoda; Arachnida; Sarcoptiformes; Trouessartiidae.
GAAACACGGACCAAGGAGCCUAUCAUAUACGCGAGUCGCUCGGUCUUGCUUAGGCCUGGGAGGCGAAAUGAAAGUAAAGCUAUGAGACUUCGGUCGCAAUAGCGGCCCGCCUACUUCGUUUAUUUGGCGAUCAGGCGGAGCUGGAGCGUAUACGAUGGUACCCGAAAGAUGGUGAACUAUGCCUGGGCAAGACGAAGCCAGAGGAAACUCUGGUGGAGGUCUGUAGCGAUUCUGACGUGCAAAUCGAUCGUCAGACCUGGGUAUAGGGGCGAAAGACUAAUCGAACCAUCUAGUACU